UCCUGGGGCUGGAGAAGGUCCCAAGGGUUGGGCUGUUCGCCCAUUAAAGUGGCACGCGAGCUGGGUUCAGAACGUCGCGAGACAGUUCGGUCUCUAUCUGCUGUGGGCGUUGGAAAUUUGAGAGGAGCUGACUUUAGUACGAGAGGACCGAGUUGGACAGCCCUCUAGUGUACCUGUUGUUUCGCCAGAAGCAUUGCAGGGUAGCUACGGCUGGUUGGGAUAAGCACUGAAAGCAUAUAAGUGCGAAGCCCACCUCAAGAUGAGAUUUCCCUUAAGGGUCGUUCGAGAUGAGGACGUUGAUAGGCUUCAGGUGUAAAGGCAGUAAUGUCAUAGCCGAGAAGUACUAAUUACCCGUGGCUUUCUAA
RNAcentral lists this ribosomal RNA (365 nucleotides) under Flavobacteriales bacterium. Its description in RNAcentral is "bacterial LSU rRNA". It matches the Rfam family "Bacterial large subunit ribosomal RNA", at positions 2545 to 2925 of the family's 2925-position model. The record is from RNAcentral. Lineage: Bacteria; Pseudomonadati; Bacteroidota; Flavobacteriia; Flavobacteriales.